Anas platyrhynchos (mallard) is the source of this 4079-nucleotide non-coding RNA. NCBI's taxonomy places the organism in Eukaryota, Metazoa, Chordata, Aves, Anseriformes, Anatidae. The record is from RefSeq and is a predicted model, not a curated record.
ACGCUGUGAGACGCUCGAAGGAGGUCCUGAAGGCUCUGCGGGGGAUGCUCGCUGUAGGAAUUGACACCUGCACCAACCGAGGAGCAGCUGGAUCCACGGCUGGGUCUUUUGUGGGAGCAGGAUUAGCAGCAUGGAAGGUGCUAGGACAGCCACGGUGCUGCCAGCAGCCGAGCAUGAGGCUGAGCCCGAGCAACACGAGGGGAAUGCAGCUCGCCUGGCCGCUCGCCCAGGCCCGGAGAGCUCCGUCCUCCAGCACGCAGCAGCUGGGGGCUCGGCCUUUCCGAAAAUGAAACGCAGUUUGUGUUUGUCUCAGGGCUCGGUCAUGGUAUGCGAACUCUAGAUUGCAGGGAGGCAAGAGGAAGCCUGUGGUUUUUGAAAAACAAGAGAAGCAGGGUGAUAAGAGAGAGCCCAAAAUGUUCCGGACAUCGUGGGUGGCUGUGGGGUGGCCCCGGUCGUGGUGUGAGCAGCGCCGUGCCCUGCCCCUGGGGUGGGAUGGACGGUGGCAGCUCCCCGUGGCUGUGGGUGGGAAGAGCUGGGGGGAAGGACCUUACUGUGAUGGAAAAAUGUGCUGUUCCUGGAAUUCCUAACUCCAGGAUGUCUCCCAAAGGGUGCCCCACAGAGCAAAGCCCCGAUGCCAGCUUUCCAGGCCGAGGCAGCAGAGGUGGCUAUUUUUGAUUAAAAAAAAAAUGAUCUUUAUUGUCUUCAAAGAAUUGAUUUGGUUUAGUAUUUGCAUAGCAGUCAUCCAAAAGUCUUCUGCUGUAGGAUGCCUCUGGUGUUUGAGUUCUUCGAGGGCAGAAAGUGAUGCAGAAGCACCUGAGUGUGGAGCAGGAUCCCUGUUUUGUACUGCAUUUCUUCUUAAAGCCAGUUUUAUUUAAAGGCAAUGAACGCCUGGCAGUACAGAGUCAGUGAAACAGCAAUUCGUGCUGUAAACCUUCAGUCUGGGCAGUUAAUGUUUGUCAUCUUCUGGGGAGUUUUUGGCUGCUCACAUAAUGCUCAGUGUGAUGGCCUGGCUGGAGAUCAGCCUUGUGUGUCUAUGUUUAAAGCCUCCCUGCGAGGCUGGGCUGGGCUUUGUUUGGUCCUGGUUGCAGGAACGGCCAGAAACGAUCCCUCACCCAAAUACCAAAGCAAACAAGUGAUUUGGAGAAAUAAAAUUACUGCUGACAGCUCAGGGGUGGCAAAAGGCACACCCAAAGUCACCCCAGGAGUCUGUGGCAGAGGUGGCCUGCCCUGAAGGGCCUUACUGCUCCUCCGCCCUGCCAGACCUCCUCCUGCCUGAGGAUGUGCCACGAGUGGGCUUCUGCCUCCUUCCUCCCCCUCUACUUCUGCUUCUUUACCCCCCUGGAGCUGGGAUGCUGUUUCCAGGGGCUCUUUGGGCCUUUGGGGCCUGCCAAAUCCCACGUCUGCAGCAGGAAACGACGGCGCGUCAUAACCACGGGGCUCCUCAUGUGCUCCUGCCUCAUUAAUGGCCAGCCAGGGUAAUGGGGCCUGUGUUCCUGCAGCUUGAAGCUUGCUCGCUGUUGGGUUUGGAUCAGGCUCCCAUCUGAAGCAGAGCUCAGGCCUGUAGGGUAGGGGCAGGGUGAUCCUCCCUCUGCUCCAAACCCCGCAGCUCCUGUCCCCAGGGUGAUCCCUGCACGGGCUACCUGGGGCUGCACGGCCUUGAACUAGGGAAAACUUCUCAAAAAAGCAAAAGACGAGAGAGAAAUGUGUGCAAAUCGUGGCACCAUGAGCUAUAUUUGUGCGAAUAUUUGAAUAUUUUCAGAUUUGUGGUGAAACCUCGCAGUCAUGUUUUGCGUUACCUCUAUUCUUGGAGUGCUUCAGCAGGCUGCGGCUGCCCCAGAGAGGGAUGUUUGGCAUCCUGGCUUCCACACUGCUUCCAUUUGGCACUUUGCAGAACUCACAGAGGCCUCUAAAGCAAACGCUGGAGGGAUGCUGCUUCUUUUUUUGGUGAGGAAACACAUCCUGACUAAAGAGAGGGUUGGAGUUGGCACAUUGCACCCAGCCUGCCCGCUGUUCUGUGAGUUGAGACGGUGGGCUCGUGGUGAGCUGGACCCUCAGGCAAGACCACCCGGGAGCUGCUGCUGUGGUACAUGGGUCUUGGCGGUCUGGGGAAUGUGAAAAAAGCAGCCACAACCACCUGGGGGGCAGUGAGUAUGGGGCAGAGCUGAAGGAGCGCGCACGAUGUCGCCCUGGUUUUCAUUGGGGCCAAGAAAUGAAGAAAGCUUUGCUUCUGAUUUUGGUGGCUCCAGCAGGAACAGAGCUGGGUUUUCACCUGACGGAGAUCAUUUCCAUGCCCUGGAGCAAACCUGACGUUGAUUAAAAGGGACUUUUAUAGAUCAUCUUCAGGUCUUGGUGGUGGUGAGGUGUUUGGUGUGUCGGCGAUGCAGGAGCACCCCAAGAGCCCCUGGAGAAGCAGGUGUAAAGGGAUGAAUGGAUUCUAACUCUGCUCUCCCAGGUGCCUGGAUAUUAUUUGUUCAGAGCAGAAUUUGGCUCGAGAUGUAAUGCAGAAUUAAUCCUUCAGGUGCCUUCACAGAAAGUAAGCUUAAAACACAUUAAAAAGUCAUCAGGCCUUCAUUAGGCCGCGCGGCUGCAGCUGCUUGCCAGGAGCCGCGAGGAUAUAAAUAAGGAAACGCUCCUUGUCCUCGCGCUUGACUGAUAGCAGAGGGAUCUGCUUCUGGCCUCUGCGGGAGGAAAGCGGCUGAGCAGACCUCUGAUGUGGAGCAGCCACUCGGUUCUGACACGUUUAGGGCGUUUUGGUGCCUUUGCUUUUCCAGCCUGACCGCAGCAGAGCUGGGUGGCAUCGGCCGUCGUGUGUCAGAGCACCGUGGCCUCUCCACUCGGAGCUUCUUGCUGGGGGAUUUAGCAAAAUUUCAGGCCUUGGGUUAUUGAAUGAGUGUGCUUAAAGUGAUGUUCUAAUCCAGAAAAGAAGCUUUUAGUUUUGCUCUCGUGAUUCGGCUUUUCCCUUUCUGUAAUUUCCUACUUCUGGAGCUCAUUGCGGGCCAGUUUUGGGCAGAGCGAGUGCAGACAGAGCCCAUCCGGACACGGCCUCAUUUCUGGAGGAAAAAAAAAAAAAAAGAAGAAGCACGAGUACAGUAUGAGCUUUUCCAGCCCCUUGUGUUUGGUUUGGGUCACAUAAGUUCGUGGUGGUUUCAGUGUUUGUCCUCGUCGUUCCUUGCAGAGCAGCAGGCCAGCGCUGGAAGAGCCACCGCCGGCCUUGCUGCGUGUCGCGCGUGGCUUAAAAUAGGCAGACAAAGAAGUGGCGUGGGCUCUGCGAUGAUAAUUGCCCAGACCUAAAAAUAGGAGGAUGUUCUGCCUGGCAGGGGGAAGUGAGAGAGACACCCGCAGGCAUCCCGCAGAGCUCUCAUCAGGCCUUAGGUGCUGCGGGUGCCCUCCAGUUUUCCACCCCUUGGCCGCAGCUUGCAGCGAUGGUGGCCACCAGAGCUGGCACCUCUGAAAUUUAAGGUGAUACAGGGAAAAAAUCUGCUUUGUUUGUAUGAAUGGAAGCAAGGAAGCUUGUAUAUAAACACCUGCAUCCUGAAAUAUUAUAACAGAAACACAGAAAACUCUAAUGGAGCCUGGGAAGGAGCCUGCUCGGGGGCAUGCUGUGGUGUCCUGGCUGUGGGGUGUGAGCUUCCAGGGGUCUGGCUGUGGGGUGUGAGCUUCCAGGGAAGCACAGCGGGAUUCCCCAGCCUCAAAAUGCUGCGGGGAGCUGCCCAAAAGGUACCGGGAGCCAAAAUCCCCACUCUGCCUGCAGCUGAUUUCCAAGCAUCAGCUUCUGCCCCAGCAGCCUGCAUGAGGAGAGCUGUUACCGUCAGAAAUGUUAAAAAACAAGCACACAAAAAACAAAGAAUGAACUUUUUUUUUUUUAAAUUCCAAGAAGCAGCCGUGAAUAGCAGUCGUGUUACCGCAGGCACGUGAGGAGGGAGAAGCUGCUGCUGCUGCUGGACAUAUUUAGCCUGCAGUCUGCGCCGGGCAUGGGCAGGGCGAAAUAAAACAACGGGGAAGCUCUUGGCUGCUCUGGGAGGGGGCACCCGUUCGGUGUAAGGGAUGAGUUGUACCUUUGCAAAAAAAAAAAAAAAAAA